This 6782-nucleotide long non-coding RNA is filed under the name Homo sapiens (human). RNAcentral's name for it is "non-protein coding lnc-BATF3-2:2". Lineage: Eukaryota; Metazoa; Chordata; Mammalia; Primates; Hominidae. The record is from RNAcentral.
AAUUAAUGCAAAAAGGCUCAAGCUUCUGUGCCCCUGGGAAAUGGCAGAGGAAGACAGCUUCAGCCUCAGAGCACACAGCACUGAGUUGUAAGAAACAGGUCUCAUCAUCCCCUUGGCCAGCAGAUUUUCACCCUGGGCCCACUAAGAAGCCUGCCAGGGGGUCCUCUGUUGUCUGGACCCUGAGGCUUCAUCCUCAAUGUGUUGGAGCCUAGGAGAGAGGAUUAGAGUUAUGCGGUAGGUGUGGGAGUUGUGUUUGAUGGGCUAGGAGUUGGGUGAGGAGGGAUCCUCAGUUUUGGGUAAAGGCAAAAAGGCAAGGAAGCCAGGAAAAAGCAAGGAGUUGGAAUAAAGACAGAGUGUGGGAGAAAGAGAGUGAGCUGGGUACAGGGGUGGGAGCAGAUGUAGAAGGAGGAGGACAGAGAAUCUGACUCAGGAUUGAGACAGCCCGUGGGAAGUGGAUCCCUAGCGUAGGAACAGGAGAGAGCCAGAGAGGAGAGGUAAGAGGGGGCAAGAUUCGGGGGUUAAGUAGAGGCAAGCCGGCAGGCAAGCACUGCAUGGCUAGUUGAGAAUGGAAAGGGGACGUGGUGAUCUAGGAAGUUUCUGUUUAAAGGCAGAGAGUGUAUGGUCAGGCAGGGGCUGUAUCUAUUUUCUUGUUUGUUUAUUCUGUUGUUUGUUUGUUUGUUUGUUUUGAGACAGAGUUUCCCAACGGUGCAGUCUCUACUCACCGCAACCUCUGCCUCCCGGGUUCAAGCAAUUCUCCUGCCUCAUUCUCUUGGGUAGCUGGGAUUACAAGCAUGCGCCACCACUCCCAGCUAAUUUUGUAUUUUUAGUAGAGAUGGGGUUUCUCCAUGUUGGUCAGGCUGGUCUCGAACUCCUGACCUCAGGUGAUCCGCCCAGCUCAGCUUCCCAAAGUCCUGGGAUUCCAGGCAUAAGCCACUGCGCCUGGCCUGUUUCUAUUUUCUUUUGCCAGGCAGGUUAUGUUAUACUGGGGUUUCUUGCUGAGGUCUGUCCUGGGACUGUCUGAGGUGUCACAAAGAGCCCACAGGUACAGACGAGAAAUUUGAAAGUGAAUCCAGACGCAGCAGAUGACAGCAAGAUGGGACUCCAAGUUCUCUUUCUAGAAAUUACAAGCUGCUCCGCUACCCACACAUGUAGCUCAUUCUCCCUGUGGCCAAGACACUCCUGUGCCUGAGGGAAAGGCAAUGCCUGCGGCAGAAACGGAGCGGUCCCCCAGCCAGGGGAGAGAGUGGCACCUAGUAUGGUACCCAAUGCUCUAAGGCAUGGAGCUGAUUGACUGCUGACUGUAGACCAGCCACUCACCACAGUGUAGGUUGGAAGCCUUCUAAGGCCGUGCGUUCUGCAGAGUCAGCCCAUGAUGGGGCCAGGAGUGUGGGCUCCAGUGUCACCCCCUUGGGAUUUAAUCCUGGCUGCACCUCUGGGGGCCUUGGUCAAGGGAGAAGCAGUGAUGUUUUAGUAUCCAGAAAGUGGAAAUAACCCAAAUGCCCAUCAACAGCAGAAUGAAAUUGUACUAUAUUCACACCAUGGAAUAUUGUAUAGCAAAGAGAAUGAAUGAACUAUUAACAGAAAAGACAUGGACAAAUCUCAUAAACAUGAUGCUGAAAGAAACCACAGUCAAAAAAGUACAUUAUUUUGUGAUUCCAUUUAUAUAUAGUGGGAAAAGGAAGCAACAUUAAUUUAUGGUGUUAGAAGUUAGGAUAGUGGUUACCCUUAGGGGUAGUGACUGAAAGAGAACAUGAGAGGGGUAUUGGGGGUACCGUGAUGUUUUGGUUCUUCAUCUGGGUGCUAGUUGCAUGGGGUUGCUCACUUUAUGAAAUACCAUUGAGUGGUAUGCUUUUGACCUGUGCACUGCUCUGCAUGUGUGAUAUACUUCAAAAUGAAACAUUAAGAUACAGGAGGAAGGACAUAGUCUCAAAGCAAAGGACAGUUUUUUUGUUGUUGUUUGUUUGUUUGUUUUAUUUUGUUUUGAGACAGAGUCUUGCUCUGUUGCCCAGGCUGGAGUGCAGUGGCGGGAUCUCGGCUCACUGCAACCUCUGCCUCCCAAAUUCAAGCAAUUCUCCUGCCUCAGCCUCCCGAGUAGCUGGGAUUACAGGCGUGCACCACCAGACCGGCUAAUUUUUGUAUUUUCAGUAGAGACAGGGUUUCACCAUGUUGGCCAGGCUGGUCUUGAACUCCUGACCUCAGGUGAUCUGCCUGCCUCAGCCUCCCAAAGUUCUGGGAUUACAGAUGUGAGCCACCAUGCCCAGCCAGAACAAGUCUUUAAAAACUAAAUUUAACUUUAUGAACAGUUUUACGAAAAAUGUACUAUAUUUGUCCACAUUUUCCUCAUCUCUCCUUGAAGCAGUGUAAAUUGCUUUAAGACAGGGUUCUGGGGCUAUGCCAAUGUCAGUGGGAAAAGAAAACAGGGGUGACAAGACUGGCAUCAACUGAUGCUGUGAGGAACAGGCCAGCUCUUUAAGGAAGGUGCCUCUCAUCUGCUCCUGGCUUCUGUGCUCAUAGUUCACACUCACGGUGUUGUGUGCAUGUCUAGGAAGAUGCUUCCCAACCUUUUGCAGACCAUGGCAUACGCAGAAAAUGACAACAUCGGAAUGGCACACUGGCAUACCAGUUGGGGAUCCUUGCAGUCAAUGCUGACUGGACUCAUCCUUCAGCCGCCCCCAAGAAGAGAGAGAUCAAUACCUUGGCACAUCUGUGGGAAAGCUCCCAUUAGAGAGUGUGGGGAAGACACAGGCCUCCACAACACAUUUCAGGUUCUCUAAACUGGCAAAGGGGAAGAGUCUGGGCUUCCUUUGCCCUUUUGUUCUCAAAGAGCCCAGCUGUGCACACCCCUCACCCCUGCACUAUAGCUCCCAUUUGGGUAGUGAAAAAUCACAGGACUCAGGGGAGUUAUGCAGCAUUCGGGAAUGGAGACCUGGAAAGCCACACACUCCUCCUUGCUUUCCUGUGAGCCUCUCUUCUUGCUGUCCCCUUUACAACCAACAGUCCCUGCAGGGGGAAGACACUCUGCUUUAGUCAGUUCCACCUCCCUUCCAGAUCUCAUCCUCCUUUCAGCCUAAUUUUCCUCACACUGUCAUGCUCCUUCCCACUGCUCGCCCCCCACCCCCUACUCUCCUCCAGCACAUCACACAUUGCGCCUGGGCACACUGAGCUUGUCUGCCAUCUAUGAAGAGGCCCAUGUCACCCAAGCCCUUCUCUUUCCCUGUCAUGCCAUAGCCUCUUCCAGGAGCGCUCAGCCUGCUGUUUCUGCUCAGACCUCCCCUCCUCUGCAAAGCCUCCUUCUGCGUGCUGCCCGAGAGCCAUCCCCCACUUGGGUUUGUGUUACUGCUGUGUAUGGCAGCAUCUUCACUGUGCCUGAUUUCCCGUCUUGGCCCAUCGUAGGUGCUCAACAAUUGUUUCUCAAAUGACCAGCGCCUGCAGAGGGACCCUGACAUGAACUCCACCCCACCCCGACUCUUGGCAGUUACUCACUGUCCCCUUGAGUCGGGAUCCCAGCCCCUCAGGGGACCUGUCUUGCAGCCAUUCCACGCUCUGUCACCCCACUGCCAGGAGACUAGAGCCACACUGCCUGGAUGACGCUCAUCUUUACCAGCUCGCAGCUCUGCCAGCUGCCUGCUCAGGGGUGGCCGCCAGCUGAGGGAUUGAGCUGAUUAUAGGUGAAUCAGCACCAGGCUGAUUGUGGUGUGAAAAAGGGGAAGGGUGACUGUGUCUUAGCCUCAAUCCUGGCUCCCCUCCUUCCAGCCCUGACCUGCAGUAACAGCACAGGGCCACCAGAGGCUCUAUUGGGCGACUCAUGCCCCGCGGAGAAAGGCCCAGUAGGAGAGCAUCUGACCCAGUUCCCAGCAGAUGAGAAAGGAAGAAGAGUUCAGGAGGCUUCUACUCUCAGAGGUCUCCAGCACUGAAACCCCGCAGCCGCACCUGGCUGCCUUAUCCUUGUGUUUUGCCCCUCAUGGGUCUAGAAGCUGUUGUGUUACACCUUAACAUCUUCCUCCUUGCUUGCCAUGAGCCCCUCUGCUUGCAGCCCCCUUUACAGAACAACAGUCAUGGUAGAGGGAAGAUGUCUCCACUUUUGUCAGUUCUGCCUCCUUUAGGAGAGUGUCAGGCCUAACCCAUGUGUGCUCUGUCUUUCAGGGCAUGGAAAAGACUAUUGUCCUGUUUCGUCUUUUCAACACCUCUUGACUCUCUCCCCCUGGUUUCCUAACAGCCAGCUAGGUUCAGGGCCUCCCAUCUCUGGCCAGGAUUAGUGCAAUGGCUUUCUGAAGGGUCCCAGGCUCCAGGGAGCCCCUUGCCCAUCAAGUCUCUACCCUGGAGCCAGACAGCCCUUACUUCCAUCAGACAUCAGCCUCCAGUGGCUCCGAAAGGCCAGGCAUCCACACAGCACCCCACGGCCCCAAGAACUGGCUGCUUGAUUUUCCUGCCCUGUGUCCCUCCUCUCCUUGGCCCUCUACCCAGCAAUCACCCCAAAACACUGUGAUGUUUCAAGCCUUUGUACUUUGCACACAUUCUUCUCCAUGGCCUAAUUCCCUCUCUCCACCCCUCACUCCACACCUCCUCCACCUUUACCCUUUCUCCCCAUUCUUUCUUCACCGGGCACAGCCCUACUUAUCCUUCAAAACUGCCACUUCCUCUGCGAAGCCUUUCCUGACCCGUGUCCCAGAAUCCCUCCUCUGAACAAAUCCUGUUCCCUAAACAUGCAUCUCUCAUUGUAUCUGUCACUCAAGGGUUGCAAUAAUUACACACACGCCUGUCCUUUGUCCUCCACUGGCUCUGUACCUCCAUGUGGGACCCAUGGCCAGCACACAUUGGUGGUGCCCGAAAGCUGUUGCACUGGAGUUGUUCCUUCUGCCCCAUCACCUCCCACCUUGAACAAGUCCUUUAGAUGACCUGAACUCCAGUUUGUUGAUCUGCAAAAUGGAGAGAUGUGAGAAUCAGAAGAGAACACGUAAUGAAAGGGUGUUAUAAACUGCUAAGGGCUGUACAAAUGUUUGUAUUGCAUUUUUGUCUUCCAGACUAGUGUUUACCUACACUUGCCUGUGUGGAAAUCAGAAGAUUAAAGGAAUGCGAUGUGAUCUUUUUGUAAUUUCCCCACUUGGGUCAAGGGAAAAGCUGGUCAAGAGUAAACCAUUAAUUCAUCCCCCUGCAGGCCCCCCAAUCUUCCCUAGAAUUCUGGGUUAAUGAUUCUGAGGUUGUUUUCCUCACAGAGCCAAUUCAUAUCUAAUCUUUGGCAUGUUCCCCCCUUUAUUAAGAAUAACUUGACUCACCCCAUUAAUUCCUCAUCCUGGGGUCACGAGCCUUGUUUUGCAGAAGGAAAUGGUGGCUGUGUGUAUGUCUUGGGCCUUCUUUCUUUCUCAAACCCCUUUCUUUCAUGGAUUCAUGCCUACAAUUCCCUCUGUGGACAGAAGAGACCUCUCCUUACCUGCAUAAUGAAAUGUGUGACUUUUCUCAAAAGUAGCUUUAGGAAUUAACUGUGGAGGUCCAAGUAGCAAGGAUGCUGUGACCUAACUCGUUACCCCCUCACGUGUGGUUUGGAAUCCCAGCAGAAAAAAUUUCCUGAAGAUCUGGUACGGAGAAACCAUUCUGGGCCUGGCUUUUAAAUGUUUUAUUAGCAGCUGGGCGAGGACUGGGCUGCAAAGAGAUGCAGCCCCCGUCAGAAGCGAUCCCUGUUGGGGAGCAAGGCCUGGAAUUCCAGGAGGGAGGUCUGUUUAUAGCUGAGGCAGAGGCUGGGGAGCGAAGCCUGGGAGCCAGACAUGGCUUAAGGGUGGUCUGGACACUCUUGAGAUAAGGCCAACUAAGGACUAUGAGCUCAUUGAAGUUCCAAAGCCAACUCACAGCAGCUCACCACCAGACAUGUCCCCUGCCCCCACAUUCCCUCCUCUCAAUCCAGGAAUUUUGGUGCUCAUCUCUAUAAAGUUUUAGACCAUGGUGGUAGGAACCUGGUAAGUCUCAGGUUCUUGCAUUGCCCGAUUCUCCUUGGAUUUGCUGGGUUUGCCUCCUUCCCAUGUCUCAGACAGGGCUUUGCAUAAAGAAGUGGGCUGGUAGAUCUGCAAAGGUCCCUCUGUGUGACUGGAGCAAGUUACCCUCUUGAGCCUCAGUGUCCUCUUCUGUAAAAUAGGGAUAUCAUUCUUUCUUUCCCAAGGCUUUUGGUAAUAAUGUCAUUCUCAUGUGAUUCUUAACAAAAUGGGCCUUUCAGACUUAGAUCACUUUUGUGCAUGCAUAAAAAUGAAAGCAUUGAGGAGAAGGAAUUGGUGAAUAUAUGUCUGGAGCAAUAACUUCAUCAGAACUGCCACGGUGGUUGUAGGACCAUUCUGAUUCCAGAGGUAUUAAAAUGCAAAACACAAUGUUGAAAUGCAAAACCCAACAAAAUAAUAAACAGCCUUGUACCUACCGCCUCCCUUAAGAACUAAAACAAUUCCCAACACCACUGAAAGACUGUGUUCACCUCCUUGAUCCAAUCUCUUGCCUUUCCACCCCAGAGAAAACCACUGUCCUGAAUUUUUUCCCACUCCCUUGGUUUUGUUUUACCAAACAUGUAUCCAAUAUGUAACAUAUUAUUUGUAUUUGAUCUUGUUUUUGAAUUGUCCUGUAGGUAGAAUUAUAUCUUAUUCUGCAAUUUGCUUUUUAAAGUUUUUGAAAGAGCAAAACUUAUCUAUGCUAAUACGCUAAUGUGUGUAGCUGCCAUUUAUUUGUCACUGCAUAUACCCCUCUCAAUUCUGUUGAUGGAAAUUUAGGCAGUUUCCAGUAUUAUUUUGCUACAAACAUUCUCAUGGCUG